Molecule: ribosomal RNA, 427 nt
Filed under: uncultured bacterium
Lineage: Bacteria
Description: bacterial SSU rRNA
Rfam family: Bacterial small subunit ribosomal RNA
Source: RNAcentral
UGGGGAAUUUUGGACAAUGGGCGCAAGCCUGAUCCAGCCAUGCCGCGUGCGGGAAGAAGGCCUUCGGGUUGUAAACCGCUUUUGUCAGGGAAGAAAUCCUUUGAGCUAAUACCUCGGGGGGAUGACGGUACCUGAAGAAUAAGCACCGGCUAACUACGCGCCAGCAGCCGCGGUAAUACGUAGGGUGCAAGCGUUAAUCGGAAUUACUGGGCGUAAAGCGUGCGCAGGCGGUUAUAUAAGACAGAUGUGAAAUCCCCGGGCUUAACCUGGGAACUGCGCUUGUGACUGCACGGCUAGAGUAUGGCGGAGGGGGGUGGAAUUCCACGUGUAGCAGUGAAAUGCGUAGAGAUGUGGAGGAACACCGAUGGCGAAGGCAAUCCCCUGGACCUGUACUGACGCUCAUGCACGAAAGCGUGGGGAGCAAACA